Molecule: ribosomal RNA, 253 nt
Filed under: uncultured bacterium
Lineage: Bacteria
Description: partial 16S ribosomal RNA
Rfam family: Bacterial small subunit ribosomal RNA
Source: RNAcentral
UACGUAGGGUGCGAGCGUUGUCCGGAAUUACUGGGCGUGAAGAGCUCGUAGGUGGUUUGUCGCGUUGUUCGUGAAAACUCACAGCUUAACUGUGGGCGUGCGGGCGAUACGGGCAGACUAGAGUACUGCAGGGGAGACUGGAAUUCCUGGUGUAGCGGUGAAAUGCGCAGAUAUCAGGAGGAACACCGGUGGCGAAGGCGGGUCUCUGGGCCGAUACUGACGCUGAGGAGCGAAAGCGUGGGGAGCGAACAGG